GGGGGCGACUUGGCUUCGACGGCGGUGACGAAAUCAAAGGUGCAUGUCGAGAGGGUAGUGACUCUCGUAAAACAAUCGCUGCAACUUUUAUAGUUGCUAACGAAGAUAACUACGCACUAGCAGCCUAAAAUACCUGCUAACCCUGGUCACUUGGUGCCUGUAACAGG
Molecule: transfer-messenger RNA, 167 nt
Filed under: Gammaproteobacteria bacterium
Lineage: Bacteria; Pseudomonadati; Pseudomonadota; Gammaproteobacteria
Description: partial transfer-messenger RNA
Rfam family: transfer-messenger RNA
About the family: Bacterial tmRNA, also known as 10Sa RNA or SsrA, is named for its dual tRNA and mRNA-like properties. Its role is to liberate the mRNA from a stalled ribosome.
Source: RNAcentral